RNAcentral lists this ribosomal RNA (350 nucleotides) under uncultured bacterium. RNAcentral's name for it is "bacterial SSU rRNA". It matches the Rfam family "Bacterial small subunit ribosomal RNA", at positions 1047 to 1395 of the family's 1533-position model. The record is from RNAcentral.
GGCUGUCGUCAGCUCGUGUCGUGAGAUGUUGGGUUAAGUCCCGUAACGAGCGCAACCCUUGUCCUUAGUUACCAGCACGUAAUGGUGGGCACUCUAAGGAGACUGCCGGUGACAAACCGGAGGAAGGUGGGGAUGACGUCAAGUCAUCACGGCCCUUACGGCCUGGGCUACACACGUGCUACAAUGGCCGGUACAGAGGGUUGCCAAGCCGCGAGGUGGAGCUAAUCCCACAAAACCGAUCGUAGUCCGGAUCGCAGUCUGCAACUCGACUGCGUGAAGUCGGAAUCGCUAGUAAUCGCGAAUCAGAAUGUGGCGGUGAAUACGUUCCCGGGGUCUUGUACACAGCCAUC